UACGUAGGGGGCAAGCGUUGUCCGGAUUUAUUGGGCGUAAAGAGCGUGUAGGCGGCCAUACAGGUCAGCUGUGAAAACUCGAGGCUCAACCUCGAGACGUCGGUUGAAACCGUUUGGCUAGAGUCCGGAAGAGGAGAGUGGAAUCCCCGGUGUAGCGGUGAAAUGCGUAGAUAUCAAGUGGAACACCAGUGGCGAAGGCGAGUCUCUGGACAUUUCCUGACGCUGAGGCACGAAAGCCAGGGGAGCAAACGGG
RNAcentral lists this ribosomal RNA (253 nucleotides) under uncultured bacterium. RNAcentral describes it as "partial 16S ribosomal RNA". It matches the Rfam family "Bacterial small subunit ribosomal RNA", at positions 524 to 776 of the family's 1533-position model. The record is from RNAcentral.